This 120-nucleotide ribosomal RNA is filed under the name Cucumis sativus (cucumber). The record is from RNAcentral. Lineage: Eukaryota; Viridiplantae; Streptophyta; Magnoliopsida; Cucurbitales; Cucurbitaceae.
AAAUUUGUGUAUGCCAGCACUAAUGCACCAGAUCUUCAUCAGAAUUCGACAGUUAAACGUGUUUAGAUGAGAGUAGUAUUAAGUUGGAUGACCACCCUGGAAGUUCUCGUGUUGCCUCUC